This 504-nucleotide ribosomal RNA is filed under the name uncultured bacterium. Its description in RNAcentral is "partial 16S ribosomal RNA". It matches the Rfam family "Bacterial small subunit ribosomal RNA", at positions 30 to 523 of the family's 1533-position model. The record is from RNAcentral.
AUUGAACGCUGGCGGCAGGCCUAACACAUGCAAGUCGAGCGGUAGCACAGAGAGCUUGCUCUCGGGUGACGAGCGGCGGACGGGUGAGUAAUGUCUGGGAAAAUGCCUGAUGGAGGGGGAUAACUACUGGAAACGGUAGCUAAUACCGCAUAAUGUCGCAAGACCAAAGAGGGGGACCUUCGGGCCUCAUGCCAUCAGAUGUGCCCAGAUGGGAUUAGCUAGUAGGUGGGGUAACGGCUCACCUAGGCGACGAUCCCUAGCUGGUCUGAGAGGAUGACCAGCCACACUGGAACUGAGACACGGUCCAGACUCCUACGGGAGGCAGCAGUGGGGAAUAUUGCACAAUGGGCGCAAGCCUGAUGCAGCCAUGCCGCGUGUGUGAAGAAGGCCUUCGGGUUGUAAAGCACUUUCAGCGGGGAGGAAGGCGUUAAGGUUAAUAGCCUUGGCGAUUGACGUUACCCGCAGAAGAAGCACCGGCUAACUCCGUGCCAGCCGCCGCAGUAA